GUUUACUGAAGACCGCAGCCAAAUCUUUCUCCGUCAAUAAUCACCUCCUUCGUCACCGUUUUGAAGCUCUCUUUGCUUAUUAAAGCGGCAAAGCUAACUACUUCACACACUCAUACAAAGCUCAAUUUUUUUUUUAACCUCUAUCUCUCUGUGCAAGUAAGAGAUCUCUGGACCUUCCAUUGAAAGUAAGGAAUUUUCGUAGCAACACACAAUCUAUAGGGUCCUCAAGUUUCCAAGGGAAGCCUUCAUUUUUAGCUCUUGUGAUUGCAAAAAUAUUAUUGUUCAAGUAAUUACAUUGAGCUUCAUUUCCUCAGUGAUGGGAUUGAAUGGAUACUUGAUGUUUUUCACUUGUGCUUAAAAUUUAUUUAUUUUUCUUCUCCCUGAUGUUCUAUUUCUUGCUAAUCUCAAAGUUACAAGUGUUUAAGGCUUAUGUGGUUAGUAAAGCCUUCAGUAUUAUGGUUCUUUUGAUGGUUUAGUUAAACUUCAGUUAUAACAUUUCAAUUAUGUGCUUGAUCUUUUUCCUUUAGAUUAUCUUUGUUUUUCAGAUUUAAGGCGUUUGCUAUAUGGGAUAAUGAGUAUGUUCUGUUUUUGUCAGUAGUUGUGAGUUGUUUGGUUGUUUUUUUUUGCGAUUGCUAAUGUAAAUGUGGACAUAAGGGGAGAACUUGAUUUGAUCAUAGUUUUUCUAUCUGGGAGAAUUGAAGAGACCCAUUUGAAUACAAUCCCAAAAAUGACUAGGCGAAGCUUACAUUUUAGCAAGUUAUAUUCGUUUUCGUGUUGUAAACCUUCAUUUAAAGAAGACCAUGCUCAAAUUGGGCAAAAAGGAUACUCUAGGGUGGUGUAUUGCAAUGACCCUGAUAAUCCAGAGGCAAUUCAGCUAAAUUAUAGGGGGAAUUAUGUAUCAACUACCAAAUAUACAGCGGCUAACUUUAUACCAAAGUCUUUGUUUGAGCAGUUUAGGAGGGUUGCAAAUAUAUAUUUUCUUGUUGUAGCUUGUGUUUCAUUUAGUCCAUUGGCCCCCUAUACAGCACUCAGCGUUCUUGCACCUUUGAUAGUAGUGAUUGGAGCUACUAUGGCUAAAGAAGGUGUUGAAGAUUGGAGGCGGAGAAAACAGGAUAUAGAGGCUAAUAAUAGAAAGGUCAGGGUGUAUGGCAAAAAUUAUACUUUUAAUGAGAGCAAAUGGAAGAAUCUCCGAGUUGGGGACCUUGUUAAGGUGUCCAAGGAUGAAUAUUUUCCUGCUGACCUGCUUCUGCUUUCUUCGAGCUAUGAGGAUGGAAUUUGUUAUGUUGAGACCAUGAAUCUUGAUGGAGAGACUAAUUUAAAGUUGAAGCAUGCCUUGGAGGUGACGUCCUCUCUGCGUGAUGAAGAAUCCUUCAAAAAUUUUGUGGCUGUGGUCAGGUGUGAGGACCCAAAUGAAAAUCUAUAUAGCUUUGUUGGAACAUUGCAUUAUAAUGGAAACCAGUACCCACAUUAUAAUGGAAGCCAGUACCCACUUUUGCCCCAGCAAGUUCUUUUGAGAGAUUCUAAGCUCAAAAACACUGAAUACAUCUAUGGUGUAGUUAUUUUCACUGGGCAUGACACAAAAGUGAUGCAAAAUGCUGUGGAUCCUCCUUCUAAGAGGAGUAAGAUUGAGAGAAAAAUGGACAAGAUAGUAUAUAUCCUUUUCAGCAUGUUGAUUUCAAUAUCAUUUAUUGGUUCUGUAUUUUUCGGAAUUGAAACUAAAAGAGAUAUUAGUGGUGGAAAGUAUAGAAGGUGGUAUCUUCGACCAGAUGCUACAACUGUGUUUUAUGACUCUCGAAGAGCAUCACUUGCUGCAUUUUUCCAUUUCCUGACUGGACUUAUGUUGUAUGGAUAUUUGAUACCAAUAUCCUUAUAUGUGUCCAUUGAAAUUGUCAAGGUCUUACAGUGCCUUUUCAUUAACCAAGAUCAAGAAAUGUACUAUGAGGAAACUGACAGGCCAUCGCAUGCACGAACGUCUAAUUUAAAUGAGGAACUUGGGCAGGUUGAUACUAUAUUAUCUGACAAAACAGGUACUUUGACAUGUAACUCGAUGGAGUUUGUCAAAUGUUCAAUAGCAGGGAUUGCUUAUGGUCGUGGUAUGACAGAAGUGGAAAGAGCUUUGGCAGGGAGAAGAAGUGAUGGACCACUGGAAAAUGACGGUAAUUUAUCUGAUCAACCAGAUGAUGAUGGUGAUACAUUUUACUCAAGAAAGCCAAUCAAGGGGUUCAACUUCAGAGAUAAACGUAUAAUGAAUGGUCAUUGGGUUAAUGAGCCUCACUCAGAUGUCAUACAAAAGUUCUUUCGAGUGUUAGCCCUUUGCAAUACUGCAGUUCCUGAAAAAGACAAAGAAUCAGGUGAAAUUUUCUAUGAAGCUGAGUCACCAGAUGAAGCAGCCUUUGUCAUAGCUGCAAGGGAGGUUGGCUUUGAGUUGUUUGAAAGGAAACAAACAAGAAUCUCAUUGCAUGAGCUAGACCCUGAGACUGCUAAAAUAUUUGAUAGAACAUACGAGCUUCUUCAAGUUCUGGAAUUCAGUAGUUCUCGCAAAAGAAUGUCUGUGAUUGUAAGAAGUGAAGAGAAUGACUUGUUGCUUCUUUCUAAGGGUGCAGACAGUGUAAUGCUUGAAAGGCUUUCAGAAGGUGGGCGAUUGUUUGAGGCAAAGACCAAGGACCAUGUCAAAAGAUAUGCAGAGGCAGGUUUACGAACCUUGGUAGUUGCAUACCGUGAGAUUGGUGAAGAUGAGUACACGAUUUGGGAAAAAGAAUUUUCAAAAGCCAAAGCAACAGUAACAGCUGACCGAGAUGUAUUGGUGGAUGAAAUUGCUGAUAAAAUUGAAAAGGAUUUGGUUCUUCUUGGUGCCACAGCUGUUGAGGACAAACUGCAGAAGAAGGUAGGCAUCAAACUUGAAAAAAUCUGAUUACAUAGGUGGAAAAUGGAGGAACUCUUGCUCUUAGUAGUUCUAAAUUUAUGAUUCAUGGUAGUCCAACCAACCUCUUGACAAUCUUUUCACUAGUGUCAUCUUUUUAUAUGUUCUGGGAUGUCUCGUCAAUAUAAAACUGGAUGCUAAUCCCCUUGAUAAUCAAAAUCAGAACCAGCCCAUUUCAGUAUAUUGGAGUUGAAUUUGCCUAUUUAUACUUCUGCUUGUUUAUAAGAAUUGAUAUGUUCUCUCAUGUUUAGGUCCCUGAGUGCAUUGAAAAGCUUGCACAUGCUGGAAUUAAAAUAUGGGUCUUAACUGGCGACAAGAUGGAAACAGCAAUAAAUAUAGGGUAUGGUACAAAGUAUUAGGCCGAAUUAUUAUCCUGAAGGUUUCACAUUAUAACUAACAUAAUUUCUACAGGUAUGCGUGUAGUCUUCUGAGACAGGAAAUGAAGCAGAUUAUUAUCACUCUUGACACCCCAGAAAUUGAAGCUUUAGAAAAACAAGGGGAUAAGGAUGCCGUUUCUAAGGUAUCUAAUUUCAAUGCUGGUGGUUGAAUAUCUUUUUAAUGUUGUGAAAUCUCUGAAAUCUUUGAUUAUUCUAGGCUUCUCUUGUAAGUGUGACGGAACAAAUAAGAGACGGAAAAUCUCAACUUAAUUCUGCUAAAGAAAGCUCACUUACAUUUGGUUUAGUGAUUGAUGGAAAGUCUUUAGCUUUCGCGCUGGACAAGAGUCUGGAGAAGAAGUUUUUGGAGCUUGCACUUGGCUGUGCUUCUGUUAUAUGCUGUCGUUCUACACCAAAACAUAAAGCCCU
This 3723-nucleotide unclassified non-coding RNA is filed under the name Hevea brasiliensis (rubber tree). The record is from RNAcentral. Lineage: Eukaryota; Viridiplantae; Streptophyta; Magnoliopsida; Malpighiales; Euphorbiaceae.